RNAcentral lists this ribosomal RNA (253 nucleotides) under uncultured bacterium. Its description in RNAcentral is "partial 16S ribosomal RNA". It matches the Rfam family "Bacterial small subunit ribosomal RNA", at positions 524 to 776 of the family's 1533-position model. The record is from RNAcentral.
UACGGGGGGGGCAAGCGUUGUCCGGAAUUACUGGGCGUAAAGAGCUCGUAGGUGGUUUGUCGCGUUGUCCGUGAAAACUCACAACUCAAUUGUGGGCGUGCGGGCGAUACGGGCAGACUGGAGUACUGCAGGGGAGACUGGAAUUCCUGGUGUAGCGGUGGAAUGCGCAGAUAUCAGGAGGAACACCAAUAGCGAAGGCAGCUCGCUGGGACGGUACUGACGCUAAGGCGCGAAAGCGUGGGGAGCGAACAGG